AGUCGAGCGAAUGGAUUGAGAGCUUGCUCUCAUGAAGUUAGCGGCGGACGGGUGAGUAACACGUGGGUAACCUGCCCAUAAGACUGGGAUAACUCCGGGAAACCGGGGCUAAUACCGGAUAACAUUUUGAACUGCAUGGUUCGAAAUUGAAAGGCGGCUUCGGCUGUCACUUAUGGAUGGACCCGCGUCGCAUUAGCUAGUUGGUGAGGUAACGGCUCACCAAGGCAACGAUGCGUAGCCGACCUGAGAGGGUGAUCGGCCACACUGGGACUGAGACACGGCCCAGACUCCUACGGGAGGCAGCAGUAGGGAAUCUUCCGCAAUGGACGAAAGUCUGACGGAGCAACGCCGCGUGAGUGAUGAAGGCUUUCGGGUCGUAAAACUCUGUUGUUAGGGAAGAACAAGUGCUAGUUGAAUAAGCUGGCACCUUGACGGUACCUAACCAGAAAGCCACGGCUAACUACGUGCCAGCAGCCGCGGUAAUACGUAGGUGGCAAGCGUUAUCCGGAAUUAUUGGGCGUAAAGCGCGCGCAGGUGGUUUCUUAAGUCUGAUGUGAAAGCCCACGGCUCAACCGUGGAGGGUCAUUGGAAACUGGGAGACUUGAGUGCAGAAGAGGAAAGUGGAAUUCCAUGUGUAGCGGUGAAAUGCGUAGAGAUAUGGAGGAACACCAGUGGCGAAGGCGACUUUCUGGUCUGUAACUGACAC
This 706-nucleotide ribosomal RNA is filed under the name Bacillus sp. FJAT-17832. RNAcentral describes it as "bacterial SSU rRNA". It matches the Rfam family "Bacterial small subunit ribosomal RNA", at positions 60 to 746 of the family's 1533-position model. Lineage: Bacteria; Bacillati; Bacillota; Bacilli; Caryophanales; Bacillaceae. The record is from RNAcentral.